UUUGUCGGGGAUAUUGGUCACCGGAUUUAAGACCGCUUUAUAUUUCUCCCUUGCCCCCCGCUUAUGUUCUCAAGGGCGCCAUGGGAGAGGAGGAGGCCGCGAGGAGGGAGGCCGCGUUGGCUGCAACGCCACUCCUCCAACCCAAUUUCAGAUCUUCGAAGGUUACCCAGUCUCGCCUCGACAAGUUCCGGGAACUGCACAAUAAACGAUUGUUGUUAAAAGAAAAAACAAAGGAUAAAGCAAAAUCUAAAGGGAAUGCUGGUAGGAAUGUGAAGAUGUGCUUGGAGGAGGUUGACAUUAAGGAUGGUAAAGAUGUAUCUGCGUCUGGUGUCACUGAAGAUUCAAAUAUUUCCAAUUUAAAGGAAAAUACGUGCUUGGUAGAAAAAGCUAAUCCAGACUCAAAGAAGAGACGGAAGUUACAUUGGGGGCAUCAAAAUUCAUGUCUAUAUGAAUGAUUGCUGUGCAUCUACAUUGGCUGCUGCACUAGUUGGACAUGGAAAAGCAUUACUUGAUGAAUGUUUAAGAGGAGAAAACAGCAUACAAGAAUUGUUGCUGAAGCAAGCAUGAUCAAAGUUGUAGAUUAAAGUUCAAUGUGGACUUGAAUUACUGCCAAGAGUUAGGCCUUGUUAGUGUAGUUGGAAUUAGUAUUUAUAUGUCUUCAUUGGUUCUUGUUAGCCAUCCUAACUGCAAAAUUCUUCUAAUUAACUAGUCUUAGUUUCGUAGUGUCGACAUUAACGGGUAGCAUCAUAAUAAAUUUUGGUGAUGUUGAAGGCAUCAACAGUUUGAACAACAUUACAAGAAAAAUUUUACACCAUAUAUCUUGGUAAAAUAGGUACGUUCUUAGGGUUGCGAUGGCCUGGUCUAUUGAAGGAAUCGAUUACUGAUCUUCCACAAGAGAUUUAAUUUGUUGGAAUUCAAUGCAUGGAAACUCCUAUCAACCUAAACAUGAUUGUGGUGAAAGUUGUGAAAGUUAAAAGAAUAUCAAUAGAACCACAAAGGGGAAUAACUUGGUGAUUUCUCAUUCAUGUUUUAACUUAAUAAUUACUACCACUCUUGUGCUCAUGUGAUGUAUGUGAGAGAAAGCAUGGAUUGAUGUGAUCUAUCUUUUAAAGGUAUUUUCUAUCAUUUGUGUAACUUGAUAGAUACAUUCCUGCUUUCGGCUGGUGGCACCUAUCUUGUUUAUCACCUUUUGACUGCGAGAAAAUAACCAUGAUAAGUAUGUAUUUAAGGUGGGGAGUAUCUUUAGAGAUGUGAGUUGAGGAGAGGAGAGAUGCAUGGAAUUGGUGGUCAGGUUACCACUCAAAGCAUCUGCAACAGUUUCACUAAGAAACAGGUGUUCCAUAUGGUAGAAUGUUAUUAAUCAGCUCUCAAUGUCCCGAAACAACUCAUAAAUAUGUCAUGAUUCAUAUCCCUUCGUAUCAAGACAUAAUGUCAUGAUACAUAUCCUUCCCUAUCUCAAAUGUAUAUUGGGUUUGCUCACCUAUUGACAUCGGAUGAAGCUUGUAUUCAAACAAAUUGGCACUUGGAAAUUGGAUUUACUAUAUUCAGUGUCAAAAUUAAGUAAUCUGCCAUGGCACAUACUGUUUGUAAACUUUUGUGGUUAGAGUUGCUCCUACAAAGAUGAAUUCUUUAUUUAGGACCUUAGGUUCUCAUGCAGAUCAACUACCAGAUGUUCAGAAAGGCUUUCAAGAUGGCAUAACUAUGAAAUUUUGUUCAGAACUUGUGUACUUUUAUGAGGCCUUUGAUUAGUUGUGUACUUUUGUAAGGCUGUUUACUAACUUGUGUUUUACUGAUUUGUUUUCUUUCUGCUAUGCACUCAUGCAAAUUGAUUUUCUAGCCUGUAUUUUAUGGGAUCCAAAACUUUAAAGGCUAUGAUCUCUAAGCUUGCAAGUUGGACAGCAAUGAUUUUUUCUCUAGUGAAGGACUGCUCCACAUGGUGGUGGUUGAAUUUGGGAGAUGACUGAUUCUUUUGACCCACUUGGUGUCCCAUUUAAAUGCAUCAAAGUCCCAUUGUUUGAUAAAGAAGAAAAAAGAAGGGAAGGAGGAACGAGUUACCUUCCUACAAGCUUCUGUUGCACAGAUUUGGGCUAAUGAUGGCCAAAUGUGGAGUAGGAGGACAACAAGAUUCCCUUUUGCCGAUCCUUCUCUCCCAUUGGAAACUUAGAAAAAAAAAUUAAAGAAAAAUGCUACUGACCCAUGCUUAAUAGGUACCAGGCUGAACCAGCAAGUGCCAGUAAGUACUGCUUGACACCGGAGUGUCCUCAGCAAAAGAUAGUAACAUCCUCUGUUUUGGGUCAACUUUGACCUCAAAAUUGAAUCAUUCUAGAAGUCCGUAUAGUGUGGGCCAUAUAUGGUUGGAAAGCUUUAUGAGUCUAGUUUUCAAUGCAUCAAACCGUUCGUAAUUUGGGGCUUUCUAGGAGUUACGAGUGUUUUACUAAAGCACAAUCUUUCUAUCCCACUUUGACUGCUAUUACGAGUAUUUCUUGGGAAUUAAGUGUCUUUAAUCAUUUUCUUAUAUUUCCUAAGUGUGUUUAAUGUCUUAUUAAUUUCUUUCUUGGGAACCUAAGGCUGAGGGAUGUUCUGGUUUCUAUAAAUCCAUGUAAUUGCAGAACUUGAAAGUAGAAUAUUGAAUACCAAAAAUUAAUCUGUUUUAUUUUCAAGAAGUGGAUUUCUUCUAGCUUCAACUCAUUGGUGGAAUUCUUUUGAGGAUAAGCAUCUUAGCUUCAACUCUUUGGUGGAUUCCAUUGAGGUCAAGCUUGCUUUAUUGCCCAUUUGGUGGAUUUCUUGGGCGGGGGGGUGUCCUAUCUUGGUUCACUUGUGCUAUCUCCUGGUUCUUUGCUCAUUUUUCGAUGUCAGUUUGGUAUCAGAGCUUUAGAUUGAUGGCUCCACGUCGUCGCAACCAGAACGCCAGAGAACCAGCUGAAAGAGAUCUUCGUGAUAUCGAGAUGGACGAAUUAAGGAGACAAGUGCAGCAACUUCAGAAUUGCCUGUAGCACAUUAAAAAUACAAACCAUGCUGAUCAUGUUCUAGAUGUAGGUGGUCCCGAUGAAGAGGAUGAAAAUCUUUUUCAUGAUGCCCACGUUCAAGCCUCAAGUGGAGAUGAUUCCCGAUGCCAUCCAGCUGUAAGGAACCGAAAUUCCCAGCAAGAACUCAACAUCCGAAUUGAUAUUCCAGAAUUUGAAGGGAAAGUUCAUUCGGAAGAAUUCAUCGAUUGGAUUCAUUCUGUUGAAUGUGUUUUUGAUUACAAGGAUGUUGCUGAACAUCAGAAGGUGAAGUUAGUAGCUAUUAAAUUAAGAAAACAUGCAUCCAUUUGGUGGGAACAUUUGAAGAAACAGCGAGCUCGUGAUGGUAAGAGCAGAAUUGUUACUUGAGAGAAGACGAAGGAGUUGAAGAAGUUCUUACCUGAAUAUUACUGUCAAGAUAUCUUUCUCAAAUUAUACAAUCUCAAACAAAAAGAGCUCUCUGUAGAAGAUUACACAGCUGAGUUUGAUAAUCUUUCAAUACUUUAUGACCUUUAUGAACCAGAAGAGCAAAAGAUUGCUUGUUAUCUUGGAGGAUUUCGAUCUGAAAUCUGCAAUAUGGUUCAGUUACAGUCCUAUUGGACAUACAAUGAUAUGUCCAAGCUUGCCUUCAAGGUGGAGAAGCAGCUCAAGGAAGCAAAAGGAAGUCAAUCUCGACCAUGGUUGAAAGUUGGAGCACCAAACCAAGGGAGCACUUCAAUCGCCAAACCAAUUUCAGCAAAUAAGUCCAAUACAUCUCAGCUACCUGCAAGGAAUGAAUCAGCAGCCCCAACUCGUCAAGGUACUUCUCAGUCCAAUGUUCGUAAAUGUUACAAGUGCCAAGGAAUUGGUCAUAUUGCUUUCGAUUUUCCAAACCGAAGGGUAGUAACUCUUAUUGGAGAAGGAGAUGAUGAAGGAAAAACUCUAGACCCUCCUAUCUUUGAUGAAGCUGAAGAUGAGGAAGAAGACGUCCCAUAUGGUGAUCAAGAAGAGUUGCUAGUCAUUCAACGAAAUUUGAAUUCUGUUCAUAUGGAAAAGGAUAAUUGGCUUCCCAACAAUAUUUUUCAUACUUGUUGCAUCUCUCAUGACAAGGUGUGUGAUGUUAUUAUUGAUGGUGGAAGUUGUGAGAAUGUGGUGGCUACAAAAAUGGUGGACAAGCUGAACCAUAAAACUGUGGCUCAUUCUUAACCAUACAAGCUAUCAUGGCUAUACAAAGGAAAUGAGGUAAGGGUUGAUAAAAAAUGUCUUGUUCAAUUGUCUAUUGGAAAGAGGUAUAAGGACGAGAUAUGGUGUGAUGUGGUGCCUAUAGAUGCUUGCCAUCUGCUCCUUGAACGUCCUUGGCAAUAUGACAGAAAAGUCAUUCAUGAUGGCUUCAAAAAUACAUACUCUUUUGUAAAAGAUGGAGUGAAGGUCAUAUUAGGACCUAUAAAGUUGAAUGAUUCUUCUAAGCCUCCACAAGAGAAAGGAGGUAAUUUACUCUCCAAAUCUGAAUUUUAUAAAGUUUAUAAUGAUGAAGAAGAGACCUAUGCUAUUAUUGUCUUAGAAGAGAAUGAAGAAAAGAAGAAAAUUCCUGCUGAUAUGCAGCCAUUGGAGAAUUUCAGGAUGUUGUACCGGAAGAAUUGCCAAUGGGACUGCCACCCAUGAGAGAGAUCCAACAUUGCAUUGAUUUCAUUCCUGGUGCUGCCCUUCCUAAUGAGACAGCCUAUAGAAUGAACCCAAAGGAGCAUGAGGAGCUUCAAAAGCAAGUAGAUGAACUGAUAGUGAAGGAAUUUGUGAAGAAAAGUAUGAGUCCAUGUGCUGUUCCAGCCCUUCUUGUCCUAAAGAAAGAUGGAUUGUGGUGUAUGUGCAUUGAUAGUAGGGCGGUAAACAAAAUUACUGUCAGGUACCGCUUCCCUGUACUACAUCUUGAUGGUUUUCUUGAUCAACUACAUGGUGCUUGCAUAUUCUCCAAGAUUGAUCUUCGCAGCGGGUAUCAUCAAAUCCGGAUGAGGGCAGGUGAUGAAUGGAAGACCGCCUUCAAGACAAGAGAUGGACUUUAUGAGUGGAUGGCUUGACACAAAGGAAAGAUGGGAAAGGAAAGCAAACAUGUAGAUUGUUGAGAAUUAACAUGCCAACUCAAGUAGCAUAAUUGAUACUGUAAAUAACUUUUUUUUAUAAAAAAAUCAGCCAAAAGUUUGUACUUUAAACCUUUGUAAUGGAUCCAAAUUGGAAUUAUUUUUAAGAGAAAUAAUUGAUCUUGAAGCUAUGUCUCAAUUAAGUAUGAUGAUUUUGCUCU
Elaeis guineensis (African oil palm) is the source of this 5274-nucleotide non-coding RNA. The record is from RefSeq and is a predicted model, not a curated record. Lineage: Eukaryota; Viridiplantae; Streptophyta; Magnoliopsida; Arecales; Arecaceae.